This 900-nucleotide ribosomal RNA is filed under the name uncultured bacterium. RNAcentral's name for it is "bacterial SSU rRNA". It matches the Rfam family "Bacterial small subunit ribosomal RNA", at positions 8 to 916 of the family's 1533-position model. The record is from RNAcentral.
AGAGUUUGAUCAUGGCUCAGAACGAACGCUGGCGGCGUGGCUAAGGCAUGCAAGUCGAACGAGCCAUUUAUAUGGGUAACCAAAUGGAUGGUUAGUGGCGAACGGGUGAGUAAUGCAUAGGUAACGUGCCCUGAACUUUGGGAUAGCCGGGGGAAACUCCGGGUAAUACCGAAUGAUGUCCAGUAGUCGCAUGGUUAUUGGACCAAAGGUUUCGGCCGGUUUGGGAGCGGCCUAUGUCGUAUCAGCUAGUUGGUGAGGUAACGGCUCACCAAGGCUUCGACGCGUAGCGGGACUGAGAGGUUGUUCCGCCACAUCGGGACUGAGACACUGCCCGGACCCCCACGGGGGGCUGCAGCAACGAAUCUUGCGCAAUGGACGAAAGUCUGACGCAGCGACGCCGCGUGUAGGACGAAGCCCUUCGGGGUGUAAACUACUGUCAGGGUGAAGAAAGAUCUGAUCGAACCCAGAGGAAGGACCGGCUAACUUCGUGCCAGCAGCCGCGGUAAUACGAAGGGUCCUGGCGUUGUUCGGAAUUACUGGGCUUAAAGAGCACGUAGGCGGGAAGGUAAGUGUCUUGUGAAAGUCCUCGGCUUAACCGAGGAAUUGCAGGGCAUACUGCUUUCCUUGAGGCAGGUAGGGGCGCGUGGAACUCUAGGUGGAGCGGUGAAAUGCGUAGAUAUCUAGAGGAACGCCUGUGGUGAAAACGGCGCGCUAGGCCUGAUCUGACGCUGAGGUGCGAAAGCGUGGGUAGCGAACAGGAUUAGAUACCCUGGUAGUCCACGCCGUAAACGAUGUCUACUAGGUCGCGGGAGUUCUGACGCUGUCGCGGCCGAAGCAAAAGUAUUAAGUAGACCGCCUGGGGAGUACGGUCGCAAGGCUAAAACUCAAAGGAAUUGACGG